GUGAGUCCACGCCGUAAACGACGAAUACUAGGUGUAGGGGUUGUCAUGACCUCUGGUGCCGCCGCUAACGCAUUAAGUAUUCCGCCUGGGGAGUACGGUCGCAAGAUUAAAACUCAAAGGAAUUGACGGGGGCCCGCACAAGCAGCGGAGCAUGUGGUUUAAUUCGAAGCAACGCGAAGAACCUUACCUAGACUUGACAUCUCCUGAAUUACCUUUAAUCGGGGAAGUCCCUUCGGGGACAGGAAGACAGGUGGUGCAUGGUUGUCGUCAGCUCGUGUCGUGAGAUGUUGGGUUAAGUCCCGCAACGAGCGCAACCUUAUUGUUAGUUGCUACCAUUUAGUUGAGCACUCUAGCGAGACUGCCCGGGUUAACCGGGAGGAAGGUGGGGAUGACGUCAAAUCAUCAUGCCCCUUAUGUCUAGGGCUACACACGUGCUACAAUGGCCGGUACAAAGAGACGCGAUACCGCGAGGUGGAGCCAAACUAUAAAACCCGGGUCUCAGUUCGGAUUGUAGGCUGAAACUCGCCUACAUGAAGCUGGAGUUGCUAGUAAUCGCGAAUCAGAAUGUCGCGGUGAAUACGUUCCCGGGCCUUGUACACACCGCCCGUCACACCACGAGAGUUGGCCAAUACCCAAAGUUGGUGAUCUAACCCGUAAGGGAGGAAGCCACCUAAGGUAGGGUCCAGCGAUUGGGGUGAAGUCGUAACAAGGUAGCCGUAGGAGAACC
Molecule: ribosomal RNA, 727 nt
Filed under: uncultured bacterium
Lineage: Bacteria
Description: bacterial SSU rRNA
Rfam family: Bacterial small subunit ribosomal RNA
Source: RNAcentral